AUGUUAAUGGAUGACUCAGCUU
This 22-nucleotide non-coding RNA is filed under the name Rattus norvegicus (Norway rat). The record is from RNAcentral. Lineage: Eukaryota; Metazoa; Chordata; Mammalia; Rodentia; Muridae.